UGGGGAAUAUUGGACAAUGGGGGAAACCCUGAUCCAGCAAUGCCGCGUGGAUGAUGAAGGCCUUCGGGUUGUAAAAUCCUUUUGGCGGGGACGAUGAUGACGGUACCCGCCGAAUAAGCUCCGGCUAACUUCGUGCCAGCAGCCGCGGUAAUACGAAGGGAGCUAGCGUUGUUCGGAAUUACUGGGCGUAAAGGGCGCGUAGGCGGCGUCGAUAGUCGGGCGUGAAAUGCCUGGGCUCAACCCAGGAAUUGCGCUCGAUACUCCGAUGCUUGAGUGUGGGAGAGGAUAGUGGAAUUCCCAGUGUAGAGGUGAAAUUCGUAGAUAUUGGGAAGAACACCAGCGGCGAAGGCGGCUAUCUGGACCACAACUGACGCUGAGGCGCGAAAGCGUGGGGAGCAAACAGG
This 404-nucleotide ribosomal RNA is filed under the name uncultured bacterium. Its description in RNAcentral is "bacterial SSU rRNA". It matches the Rfam family "Bacterial small subunit ribosomal RNA", at positions 355 to 776 of the family's 1533-position model. The record is from RNAcentral.